GGCCGGUUAGUUCAGUUGGUCAGAGCAUCAUGCUGAUAACGCGAAGGUCGCGGGUUUGAUACCCGUACUGACCA
Molecule: transfer RNA, 74 nt
Filed under: Salmo salar (Atlantic salmon)
Lineage: Eukaryota; Metazoa; Chordata; Actinopteri; Salmoniformes; Salmonidae
Rfam family: tRNA
About the family: Transfer RNA (tRNA) molecules are approximately 80 nucleotides in length. Their secondary structure includes four short double-helical elements and three loops (D, anti-codon, and T loops). Further hydrogen bonds mediate the characteristic L-shaped molecular structure. tRNAs have two regions of fundamental functional importance: the anti-codon, which is responsible for specific mRNA codon recognition, and the 3' end, to which the tRNAs corresponding amino acid is attached (by aminoacyl-tRNA synthetases). tRNAs cope with the degeneracy of the genetic code in two manners: having more than one tRNA (with a specific anti-codon) for a particular amino acid; and 'wobble' base-pairing, i.e. permitting non-standard base-pairing at the 3rd anti-codon position.
Source: Rfam by way of RNAcentral